GUGGGGAAUAUUGGGCAAUGGGCGAAAGCCUGACCCAGCAACGCAGCGUGAAGGAAGAAGGUCUUCGGAUCGUAAACUUCUAUCCUUGGUGAAGAUAAUGACGGUAGCCGAGAAGGAAGCCCCGGCUAACUACGUGCCAGCAGCCGCGGUAAUACGUAGGGGGCAAGCGUUGUCCGGAAUGAUUGGGCGUAAAGGGCGCGUAGGCGGCCUGGUAAGUCUGGAGUGAAAGUCCUGCUUUUAAGGUGGGAAUUGCUUUGGAUACUGUCGGGCUUGAGUGCAGGAGAGGUAAGUGGAAUUCCCGGUGUAGCGGUGAAAUGCGUAGAGAUCGGGAGGAACACCAGUGGCGAAGGCGACUUACUGGACUGUAACUGACGCUGAGGCGCGAAAGUGUGGGGAGCAAACAGGAUUAGAAACCCUUGUAGUCC
RNAcentral lists this ribosomal RNA (425 nucleotides) under uncultured bacterium. Its description in RNAcentral is "partial 16S ribosomal RNA". It matches the Rfam family "Bacterial small subunit ribosomal RNA", at positions 354 to 796 of the family's 1533-position model. The record is from RNAcentral.